AUUGAACGCUGGCGGCAGGCCUAACACAUGCAAGUCGAGCGGAUGAAGGGAGCUUGCUCCUGGAUUCAGCGGCGGACGGGUGAGUAAUGCCUAGGAAUCUGCCUGGUAGUGGGGGAUAACGUCCGGAAACGGGCGCUAAUACCGCAUACGUCCUGAGGGAGAAAGUGGGGGAUCUUCGGACCUCACGCUAUCAGAUGAGCCUAGGUCGGAUUAGCUAGUUGGUGGGGUAAAGGCCUACCAAGGCGACGAUCCGUAACUGGUCUGAGAGGAUGAUCAGUCACACUGGAACUGAAACACGGUCCAGACUCCUACGGGAGGGAGCAGUGGGGAAUAUUGGACAGUGGGCGAAAGCCUGGUCCAGCCGUGCCGCGUGUGUGAAGAAGGUCUUCGGAUUGUAAAGCACUUUAAGUUGGGAGAAAGGGCAGUAAGUUAAUACCUUGCUGUAUUGACGUUACCAACAGAAUAAGCACCGGCUAACUUCGUG
This 484-nucleotide ribosomal RNA is filed under the name uncultured bacterium. Its description in RNAcentral is "partial 16S ribosomal RNA". It matches the Rfam family "Bacterial small subunit ribosomal RNA", at positions 30 to 507 of the family's 1533-position model. The record is from RNAcentral.